UGUUCGGGUGAUCCAUUAGUCAAAUUUCUUUUGUGUUCGAUUCAUUUUCGAUUCAACGAAGAGAUUGUUAUCGAAGACGAACUAUCUCUAUUGGUUUGUCAUUGCGAUAUCGUUUUAUUUGCCCAGUCAUCCUUCCUGCGAAGGACACGACGGUGCUCCGAUAAUCCUGAUAGUAAUCGAGUAACGUAUCGAUUGAUUCGCAAGAUAAUCAUCGUGGAGGAUUAAGAGCAGCUGGAAUUCCCAUCUAAACGUGAUCACAUGAUUUGUAACGUGCCAAUGUACCGUUGAUACGUCGUCUAGUGAGAGCUGAAAGGAGAAAUUCAUCUUGAAAGAAGAAAUUCACGAAGGAGGCGACGGUGCUUUGGAAAAGCUCGUUGAUUACCAGUGAAAAACAGCUUUGGAUUAUGACUAUUGGAUGACGAUUGACAUGGCGACGUCGUAAAAUCGACGCAACUCCACAUUUCUUCAUGGAUCAUAAGUGAUAUCGCGGAAGAGAAAUGAUCAUUAUUGUGGGACUCCGUGAGAAACGUGUUCCUUAACGCGAUCCACUUAUCUAAAACAAACCAAGCGUCGUCAUGACGCGUUUGGAUCGCGCAUGAACAAUUACAUGCCACAAAAACCACGUCGACGAUCAGGGAUAAGCUGGUAUUCGAACCACGUGUCCAAAGUCUAAUAGUGUCUGACAUAGGUGGAGAGAUUCGGGUGCAUCUUAAUAAAAAAGAAAAAAAACGCAACACGCGAACAACAUAAGCAAAAAGAUUGCAAAUGUGAGGUUCGUUAUCGACGUGGCAGAAAAAUACACGAGUGCUGUAAAAAAGAGGCACGCGAGGGAUGCGUUCCACAGACAAAGGGUGGGGUCUUUGGUUACCGAUAAGGCUUAUCCGGAGAUACGAUGGUCGGCAACUGCGCUCGUCGAGUCGUCAGUCGUAGUACUCAGGUGCCGUCGACGAGAUCGUCACGCCACUCAAGUCGCAGUAAUUUCGUGAUUCGUGCAUCAUUCUGCAGCUCCAAGGAGGUAUCUUGAAAGUGUUGUUUCCGGGCCAAGUGUCCAGUGAUAUCACGGUUUCGUAUUCGCACCCACAGCUGGAUCGUAUUGCAACGGAUCUCAAAAGACGCUCCAAUAUCCGUCUGGAUUCUAAAGUAUACGAAACGAAAGGUCGGAUAUCGAUCGCUAUCAAUCACUGCUGGAACGAAUUGAACAAGACUUCAACGGGACUAGUCUUUCCGCGUGCUUUCGUGUUGUUGGUGUGCUUAAUCCACGUGAUGAGUGUGUGCUCUUCGUGCUAAGAUUUCAAUUCGUUUCUGAGCGCGAACGUGAUUCGUGAAUCGAGAGUGUCCUGUGUUGUUCGUAGUUCGCCCGAGACCCUAGAAGUAGCUUGUUCGUGCACGUACUGUAGAGUUUGAGGGUUGACGCCUUCAAACCGCAAGCGUACAAUAAUCCUGUCUUCCUCAAGGAUAAACGAAACCGAGCGAAGGAGGCACCGACAUCCGGUCGCCAAACGGACUCCUAUGAAAAUGCUACAGUCGCUAAACGCUCUGGCGGGUAAAAUCUCGCCGGGCUCUCCUACCGACAGCAACGCCAACAAGGUGCACAUGCAUAAUAACAACAAUAAUAACAACAACGUGCAUCACCAUCCCUACUCCAAACAGCAGACCCAGCCGUCCCCAUCACAUUCUGCCAACGGCGACCAAAAGGAAAAUACCAUAAUGAACAACAACAGUGUGGAGCAGCCGGAUCCAGACAACAUAAAGAUGUUUGUGGGGCAGGUACCUCACGAUAUGGACGAGAAUGAUUUGAGGACGAUGUUUGAGGAAUAUGGUCGAGUGCAUCAGAUAAAUAUCCUGCGAGACAAGAUUACCGGCAGUCAUAGGGGAUGUUGCUUUGUAACCUUUUACACUAGAAAAGCGGCUUUGGCAGCGCAGAACGCUCUUCAUAACGUCAAAACCUUCAGUGGGAUGCGUCAUCCGAUCCAAAUGAAGCCGGCCGACAGCGAGAAUCGGAAUGAGCGCAAACUGUUUGUUGGGAUGCUAUCAAAAAAAUUCACAGAAAACGAUGUUAGGAACAUGUUUAGUGCUUACGGAAUGAUCGAGGAAUGCUCGGUGCUGAGGGACAGCACCGGGAAAAGUAAAGCCUGUGCCUUCGUUACCUUCGCUAGUAAGCAGUAUGCAAUCAAUGCCAUCAAAGCUCUGCAUCAUUCUCAGACAAUGGAGGGCUGUUCGUCGCCAUUAGUCGUAAAAUUCGCCGAUACACAAAAGGAAAAGGACCAGAAGAGGAUGCAGCAACUUCAGUCGAAUCUCUGGAAUAUCGCGGGAGUCAACAUCACACCGCAUUACCUAGCCAACGAUGCACAUACUUUGGCGCCUGCAUCGUUGCAGCUUCUGCAACAGUUGCAGGCGACGACGAGUGCCGCGACUCCGGUCGCUGCGAACGCGGGGGCGGCUAAUGCACUGUCGAAUGUACAACAUCAGUUACUGUUACAACAACACCUUGGCCUUGGUGCGGCAACACCUGCGCACGCAGCACCCUCCGCUGUACCUAGUCCAGCAGAAAUCAACCCUGCGAAUUUGCAAAGUUUAGCCACUCUCGCGUCUCUGAGCAACACUGCUAGUGAGUAUGCAAAUGCGGGUGUAUCGCCAAUGAGUAUGCAGAAUCUUGUCACUCUGGCAGCUAUGACCGGCGGAAACGGCAAUCUCCAAGUGUCGCCAAACACAUUAAGCGGUCUGGCGAAUUCGACAGCAGGUAUGUCGCUAUCUGCUCUUCUGGGAAAAACAGGAAAUACAGGGUCUACCGGAGGCAGUCUUAGUCCUGUAACAUCUCUCACACUCAAUUCCUUGACGGGAACGCCGUUAAACGGACUUCAGGAUUCGCUGAGCAACGCUUAUUCUAGCUUACAACAGUAUGCAGGGUUCCCCGCCUUCACGGCGGCUGCAGCCGCUGCGGCGGCAGCAGCGCAGAAGACCAAGUUCACCAGCACGGACAAGCAAAUCGAGGGUCCCGAAGGUUGCAACCUCUUUAUAUAUCACCUACCGCAAGAAUUCAGCGAUACAGACCUCAUUUCUACCUUUUUGCCCUUCGGCAAUGUCAUAUCCGCCAAAGUUUUCAUAGAUAAGCACACGCACAUGAGUAAAUGCUUUGGUUUCGUAUCGUAUGACAAUGCGUCGAGCGCGCAAGCGGCGAUCCAAACGAUGCAUGGUUUCCAGAUUGGCAUGAAGCGACUGAAGGUCCAGUUGAAACGGUCCAAGGAUGCCUGCAAGCCGUACUAGCUGACGUCACAGAACGUUCGUAGGUAGAUACCAAGGACUUCUCGGACAUCUUGGCUCGACGACGUCCUUAGUCUGGACGACGCUCGUGCAUUUAAUUAACAACCGCGAUGGUUGAUUAUUCCGCAGCGGAAUCGCGUCUAGCGAUAGGUCUAGGUAGACAAGCGAAAGUAUUAGGUGGCCGUAUUCCACAAUACUCUCUAGUCAAGCAGUAUUUUCCACGAAGGUAGCGAGUUAACGGGCUACAAUCGAGCGUUCUCGGACGCCGAAGAGGAGACGUCGCCGCUCGACACCUUCGCCGUCCUAUCGAAACGAGGCUGUGAUAAUCCAGAAGACUCUCUUGUCUCCAUCGGACUGACUUUUCUUCCGAGGUGGCCUGUGACGUUGUGACCGUGUACUCUCGAUCGGAGUCGCCGUGCCAUGUCAGUCUCAGUCAGUCAAAUCAGUAUCGGUCGUUCGCUCGACCGGUCGAUCGAUCAGUCACGAUUCCCCGGUCAGUCUCUCGAUCAGUCUAUCUGUGUCUGUCGGUGCCUGUACAAAGAACAACACCCGCCCAUGCGCUCUCACUUCUGCUGUGAGAUUCUCCGCCUUGUUGACCUCUUCUCUAUCUCUUCAUCUUAUCUCCUCAACCUCUUUUGCGUCCAUACCGCCUAUCCACGAAGUCGCGACAUCGUUCAUACUUUACGAUCGCAUCGAGCGAUUGCUUGUCCUCCCGAUUGCAGCUGCGCAUGUAAAACACUGGACGAAUCCUCGGACAUGCAGAAGAAUUCACGGUGCUGGGCAAAUGAAAGUUGUGGCCGAGAAAGUGCACAUGAAAUGUGGAGGAGAUGAAGAAGACUGAGAAAGUGGAACAGAAAGGAGGACGAUGCAUCAACGACCGACCAGGGUUCCUCGAACGAAGCUAACGCGCUAUGUUAACUGUCUGUCCAAUCUCCCCUUCCCUUUAUGUAUAUACAGAUAUAUAAAUACAUGCAUAUAUGUACAUACACAUAUAUGUGUACGUGUGUAUGAUAUGUGCGUGUGUUGAGAGCGCAAUGAGGAGUCUUAUAGUUAAUUAAUGGUAAGCGAUGCUCUAUCGUUUCAUGAUGAAAGAGAACAAAAGGACAAGCGAGGAAUGUGUGGCGAAUGAGCUGUGUGAGAAAUUUUUCUUAUACAUAACUAUACAUAUACAUAGUUAUAUAUACAUGUUCAUAAAUCGAAUUAUCGACUGAGAACUAUUUUUAUCGGCUCUAUCUAUCGGGAUCGCUGUCGCAGCGCCUGUUUAUAUAUAAAUAUGCAUAUGCAUAUGUGCGUAUGUAUCGCGGCAAAUUGGGCGUGUAAACGAGAUAAAUGUAUGAAGAAGCACGAGAGAUGGAGAGACGGAAAGGGAAACGCGAAAGGACGAACAAUGACCGUGCGGGAUCGACGCGCGUGCGAUUUCUUAGGUUUAAAUCGUGCAAAUAUACCAAAAACGAAACGGAUACAAAGAAUUAAACAACAAAAAACCGAUAGAUAGCAAAGAAACGAAUAUAAGAGACAUUUUGUAGUAAUGACUUUGUGAUAAGAUUGUAUCGUAGGGGACCGUGGUCUCAAACUGAAACUGGGCCGGAUCGCUCAGGAAUAAACACAUCAGGCGUCACACAUUUGUGCAUUCAAUUAUUCUAUAUCGUUAUCAAGACACUUCACGAAUAUAGUCAAGUACAGAAGAUGCGACAAACUUUUAAUGAAUUUUAAUAAAACGGACGAGUUUCCCGACCGUACACUUGCAUCGUCUUCUUCGUCGAAAUAAUAAAUUGCACUUUGUGCAAUUAAUCUUAGGAAAGAGAGAUUAGAUAUGAGAUCGAUUGGACAGGUUGUCUGCAUUGAUUCAAUGAAGUAAAAGUUUCUUAUCAAGUGAUAUCUGAAUACGAAAAAACAAAAUGAAUUGCUAUAAUAAUUGUGAAAUAAUUUCGCAAUUAGAAGAAAGAGAUGCGAGACUCGAAUAAGUGCAUCACGCAAGAUAUUUUAAGAUAAUUCAUUCUUGACAAUUGAAUAUGAAU
Molecule: RNA transcript, 5279 nt
Organism: Atta colombica
Lineage: Eukaryota; Metazoa; Arthropoda; Insecta; Hymenoptera; Formicidae
Gene name: CUGBP Elav-like family member 2
Exons: 16
Source: RefSeq, a predicted model, not a curated record